RNAcentral lists this ribosomal RNA (254 nucleotides) under uncultured bacterium. RNAcentral's name for it is "partial 16S ribosomal RNA". It matches the Rfam family "Bacterial small subunit ribosomal RNA", at positions 524 to 776 of the family's 1533-position model. The record is from RNAcentral.
UACGAGGGGGGCAAGCGUUUGUUCGGAAUUAUUGGGCGUAAAGGGCUCGUAGGCGGUCUGUCGCGUCGGGAGUGAAAACACGGGGCUUAACCCCGGGCCUGCAGUGGGUACGGGCAGACUAGAGUGCGGUAGGGGAGACUGGAAUUCCUGGUGUAGCGGUGAAAUGCGCAGAUAUCAGGAGGAACACCGAUGGCGAAGGCAGGUCUCUGGGCAUUAACUGACGCUGAGGAGCGAAAGCAUGGGGAGCGAACAGG